This 562-nucleotide ribosomal RNA is filed under the name uncultured bacterium. RNAcentral describes it as "bacterial SSU rRNA". It matches the Rfam family "Bacterial small subunit ribosomal RNA", at positions 338 to 916 of the family's 1533-position model. The record is from RNAcentral.
CCUACGGGAGGCAGCAGUGGGGAAUAUUGGACAAUGGGCGAAAGCCUGAUCCAGCAAUGCCGCGUGAGUGAUGAAGGCCUUAGGGUUGUAAAGCUCUUUUACCAGGGAUGAUAAUGACAGUACCUGGAGAAUAAGCUCCGGCUAACUCCGUGCCAGCAGCCGCGGUAAUACGGAGGGAGCUAGCGUUGUUCGGAAUUACUGGGCGUAAAGCGUACGUAGGCGGUUAUUCAAGUCAGAGGUGAAAGCCCGGGGCUCAACCCCGGAACUGCCUUUGAAACUAGAUAGCUAGAAUCUUGGAGAGGUUAGUGGAAUUCCGAGUGUAGAGGUGAAAUUCGUAGAUAUUCGGAAGAACACCAGUGGCGAAGGCGACUAACUGGACAAGUAUUGACGCUGAGGUACGAAAGCGUGGGGAGCAAACAGGAUUAGAUACCCUGGUAGUCCACGCCGUAAACGAUGAUAACUAGUUGUUCGGGUCACUUGGUGCCUGAGUGACGCAGCUAACGCAUUAAGUUAUCCGCCUGGGGAGUACGGUCGCAAGNUUAAAACUCAAAUGAAUUGACGG